RNAcentral lists this ribosomal RNA (490 nucleotides) under uncultured bacterium. Its description in RNAcentral is "partial 16S ribosomal RNA". It matches the Rfam family "Bacterial small subunit ribosomal RNA", at positions 30 to 507 of the family's 1533-position model. The record is from RNAcentral.
AUUGAACGCUGGCGGCAGGCCUAACACAUGCAAGUCGAACGGUAACAGGAAGAAGCUUGCUUCUUUGCUGACGAGUGGCGGACGGGUGAGUAAUGUCUGGGAAACUGCCUGAUGGAGGGGGAUAACUACUGGAAACGGUAGCUAAUACCGCAUAACGUCGCAAGACCAAAGAGGGGGACCUUCGGGCCUCUUGCCAUCGGAUGUGCCCAGAUGGGAUUAGCUAGUAGGUGGGGUAACGGCUCACCUAGGCGACGAUCCCUAGCUGGUCUGAGAGGAUGACCAGCCACACUGGAACUGAGACACGGUCCAGACUCCUACGGGAGGCAGCAGUGGGGAAUAUUGCACAAUGGGCGCAAGCCUGAUGCAGCCAUGCCGCAUGUAUGAAGAAGGCCUUCGGGUUGUAAAGUACUUUCAGCGGGGAGGAAGGGAGUAAAGUUAAUACCUUUGCUCAUUGACGUUACCCGCAGAAGAAGCACCGGCUAACUCCGUG